GUAGGUGAACCUGCGGAAGGAUCAUUAUCGUACAACCGAGGUGCGAGGGCUGUCGCUGACUUUUUUUGUCGUGCACGCCCGAGUGCUCUCACACAAUCCAUCUCACCCCUAUGUGCACAACCGCGUGGGGUCCCUCUUUGGCUCGCUCCGAGGGGGGGCUCGCGUUUUCACACAAACUCGAAGCAGUGUAGAAUGUCUUUUUUUAUUUUGCGAUGACACGCAAUCAAUACAACUUUCAACAACGGAUCUCUUGGCUCUC
RNAcentral lists this unclassified non-coding RNA (259 nucleotides) under rhizosphere metagenome. RNAcentral describes it as "partial ribosomal RNA internal transcribed spacer region". The record is from RNAcentral.